GACGAACGCUGGCGGCGUGCUUAACACAUGCAAGUCGAACGGAAAGGCCCUGCUUUUGUGGGGUGCUCGAGUGGCGAACGGGUGAGUAACACGUGAGUAACCUGCCCUUGACUUUGGGAUAACUUCAGGAAACUGGGGCUAAUACCGGAUAGGAGCUCCUGCUGCAUGGUGGGGGUUGGAAAGUUUCGGCGGUUGGGGAUGGACUCGCGGCUUAUCAGCUUGUUGGUGGGGUAGUGGCUUACCAAGGCUUUGACGGGUAGCCGGCCUGAGAGGGUGACCGGCCACAUUGGGACUGAAAUGCGGCCCAGACUCCUACGGGAGGCAGCAGUGGGGAAUAUUGCACAAUGGGCGGAAGCCUGAUGCAGCAACGCCGCGUGCGGGAUGACGGCCUUCGGGUUGUAAACCGCUUUCGCCUGUGACGAAGCGUGAGUGACGGUAAUGGGUAAAGAAGCACCGGCUAACUACGUG
Molecule: ribosomal RNA, 468 nt
Filed under: uncultured bacterium
Lineage: Bacteria
Description: partial 16S ribosomal RNA
Rfam family: Bacterial small subunit ribosomal RNA
Source: RNAcentral